CGCCCGCGCUCUCGGGGCGGACUCCCGGCCCUCCGAGAUCUCCCGCCCGGCGAUGGCCCCGCUCGGAUAUUUCAUAUUCCUCUACGGCCUGAAGCAAGCGCUGGGCAGCUACCCGAUCUGGUGGCCAUCUGGACACAGCAAGGAUGUGGUCUCUCCACGGUGCCCAUGAGCAUAAUGAAAAGGAGGGCUCACAAAGAAAGAAAUGGCGUUUAACAGCAGCAGGAAGGCUCUCUAUCUUCAUAUCCAACCUAAUGGAGUUUCCCACAGCACCCCACCGGUCUCUGCUGUACCUAGAGCUCCCCAGCACUGAGUGGUACCUGGAGUGGAUGUCAGCCCAGCUGACCCCGGAAAUUCCCCGUGAGGCCGCGUCCAGUCUUCUCCCACCCCUGAGCCAGCUCAGCAGCCCGAGACGGACUCCAGUGCAGUGUUCUCGCUUCUCCCGACUCUCGCUGCUUCUCCACCCUCCUCCCUAG
This 473-nucleotide long non-coding RNA is filed under the name Capra hircus (goat). RNAcentral's name for it is "lncRNA (ENSCHIG00010009820.1)". Lineage: Eukaryota; Metazoa; Chordata; Mammalia; Artiodactyla; Bovidae. The record is from RNAcentral.